Molecule: ribosomal RNA, 666 nt
Filed under: Glutamicibacter sp.
Lineage: Bacteria; Bacillati; Actinomycetota; Actinomycetes; Micrococcales; Micrococcaceae
Description: bacterial SSU rRNA
Rfam family: Bacterial small subunit ribosomal RNA
Source: RNAcentral
GCGUGCUUAACACAUGCAAGUCGAACGAUGAAGCCCAGCUUGCUGGGUGGAUUAGUGGCGAACGGGUGAGUAACACGUGAGUAACCUGCCCCCGACUUUGGGAUAAGCCCGGGAAACUGGGUCUAAUACCGGAUAUGACUUCCUGCCGCAUGGUGGGUUGUUGAAAGAUUUAUCGGUGGGGGAUGGACUCGCGGCCUAUCAGCUUGUUGGUGAGGUAAUGGCUCACCAAGGCGACGACGGGUAGCCGGCCUGAGAGGGUGACCGGCCACACUGGGACUGAGACACGGCCCAGACUCCUACGGGAGGCAGCAGUGGGGAAUAUUGCACAAUGGGCGGAAGCCUGAUGCAGCGACGCCGCGUGAGGGAUGACGGCCUUCGGGUUGUAAACCUCUUUCAGUAGGGAAGAAGCGAAAGUGACGGUACCUGCAGAAGAAGCGCCGGCUAACUACGUGCCAGCAGCCGCGGUAAUACGUAGGGCGCAAGCGUUAUCCGGAUUUAUUGGGCGUAAAGAGCUCGUAGGCGGUUUGUCGCGUCUGCCGUGAAAGUCCGAGGCUCAACCUCGGAUCUGCGGUGGGUACGGGCAGACUAGAGUGAUGUAGGGGAGACUGGAAUUCCUGGUGUAGCGGUGAAAUGCGCAGAUAUCAGGAGGAACACCGAUGGCGAAGG